GUCAACUACCCCGGCCUCAAAGGCCGAGGCUUGCAAAAGCCUGGUUGACUAGCCUCAGUCUGCCGAAAGGCGACUACGUUGGUUGGGAACAUGUAGGCACCGCAGGAUGUUACUUCUAGUCCGGCGCGCUGCGGUCAGUCGUUAAAUGCCCUAAGGGUUGUGGGCUGUGCGGCUGACAUACAAAACCCCUUCCAACAUUGGCGAAGGAGACUUUAA
Molecule: non-coding RNA, 216 nt
Organism: Desulfovibrio sp. An276
Lineage: Bacteria; Pseudomonadati; Thermodesulfobacteriota; Desulfovibrionia; Desulfovibrionales; Desulfovibrionaceae
Rfam family: HNH endonuclease-associated RNA and ORF (HEARO) RNA
Source: Rfam